AAGGGCGACAGCGUUCACCAACUUUGUUGUUGUGAAUGCACAACAUGUAUAAUAAAAGUUUCGAGCACUUUCUGAGCUUAUGAGUUACGUAUAAAUAUGAACCCAUUUCCAAAGUUAUUAGAAGGCAGUCUCAUCGACACAAAACAUGUAGAGUCCGCAGCGAUAUUUGUGGCGAGAACUGGCGACGUAAGGGCAGCGUCCAACAUUACAUUCGGUCCAGAACAAACUCAGACGUUUCUAGACGCAUUCAAGCAGGUGAAUGUAACGAGGCAGAGAGGACUCGACUUCAGGAGCAAACACUACACCUGUGUGCGUGCCGACAAACACUCCAUAUACACUAAAUGUGAAGGACAUGGUCUGAUAUUGGUGAGAACUGCACUGUAUGUGAUUGUUGCCACAUAUUCACAGAACAUGUAUCCAAGUAUCUGUGUCGAAGCAGUUGAGAAACUAGCCGAGUAUCUGCGUGAAAAGGGAAACUGAAGCUCGUCGUAUAAGACCAGAAGAGGUGAAGAAUCUAUUCAGUGGGAUUUUUAACACUAUUGAUGAGAAACUAUGGACUGACUAUACUCAAUCUGUUUAGUAACAGUAACACCGAGGAUGUGUGACAUACUUAGUGCCAAUCUUUACGACCAGGUUGGGAUCAUCAAUGAUAGAUGGAUUAUCUGCAAACUCCUGAUAAGUCCUCCACAAAGAGAGAUGGCAAUAUGAGGCAAGUCUCCUAACUGGUCAGAAAAGCUGUCCACUCCACUGUCCAUCCCACUGCUGCCUACUGAUUGAGG
This is an RNA transcript of Carassius carassius (crucian carp), 779 nucleotides long. It is a transcript of the gene named profilin family member 4, with no coding region annotated. The transcript is spliced from 6 exons. The record is from RefSeq and is a predicted model, not a curated record. Lineage: Eukaryota; Metazoa; Chordata; Actinopteri; Cypriniformes; Cyprinidae.